Molecule: ribosomal RNA, 420 nt
Filed under: uncultured bacterium
Lineage: Bacteria
Description: bacterial SSU rRNA
Rfam family: Bacterial small subunit ribosomal RNA
Source: RNAcentral
CUGGGCGGGCUGCCUUACCAUGCAAGUCGAACGGCAGCGCGGGGCAACCUGGCGGCGAGUGGCGAACGGGUGAGUAAUAUAUCGGAACGUACCCUGGAGUGGGGGAUAACGUAGCGAAAGUUACGCUAAUACCGCAUACGAUCUAAGGAUGAAAGUGGGGGCUCGCAAGACCUCAUGCUCCUGGAGCGGCCGAUAUCUGAUUAGCUAGUUGGUGGGGUAAAGGCCUACCAAGGCACCGAUCAGUAGCUGGUCUGAGAGGACGACCAGCCACACUGGAACUGAGACACGGUCCAGACUCCUACGGGAGGCAGCAGUGGGGAAUUUUGGACAAUGGGCGCAAGCCUGAUCCAGCAAUGCCGCGUGAGUGAAGAAGGCCUUCGGGUUGUAAAGCUCUUUUGUCAGGGAAGAAACGGUGGAGGC